Molecule: long non-coding RNA, 794 nt
Organism: Oncorhynchus tshawytscha (Chinook salmon)
Lineage: Eukaryota; Metazoa; Chordata; Actinopteri; Salmoniformes; Salmonidae
Source: Ensembl
CCCCAGUCCACCUGGCCGUGCUGCUGCUCCAGUUUCAACUGUUCUGCCUCUGGGAAGAACUACUGGAUAUAAGAGCGACAUAUAAGAGUGACGAGCGAGCGAAGAGCGACGAAUGGAUCUAAUCCCAGAAACCGAACCAAAACAAUGGCGCCACAGAAAGAGCAGACGGAGCAUCCUCCUGGUCAGGCUCCGUAGACGUGCACAUCUCACACCGCUCUCGAGUACACUACUCACCAAUGUCCAGACUCUCGACAACAAGGUAGAUAAAAUGCGAGCAAGGGUUGCCUUCCAGGGAGACAUCAGAGAUUGUAACAUUCUUGGAAUAUUGGAAACAUGGCUCUCAGGAUAUGUUGUUGGAAUCGGUUCUCCAUGCAGGCCGACAGAGAUAAACACCUCUCUGGUAAGAGGAAGGUCGGGGUGUAUGCUUCAUGAUUAACGACUCAUGGUGUAAUCACAACAGCAUACAGGAACUCAAGUCCUUCUGCUCACCCGACCUAGGAUUCCUUACAAUCAAAUGCCGGCCAUAUUACCUCCCAAGAGAAUUCUCUUCAGUUAUUGUAACAGCUGUGUACAUUCCCCCCCAAGCAGACACCAUGACAGCCCACAAGGAACUUUACUGGACUCUAUGUAAACUGGAAACCAUAUAUCCUGAGGCUGCAUUUAUUGUAGCUGGGGAUUUAAAAAAAGCUCAUUUGAGAACAAAGCUACCUAAAUUCUAUCAGCAUAUUGAUUGCACUACACACAGGGGGAUAUACACUCAAUCACUGCUACUCUAACUUCUGCAAUACAUACAA